AGCGAACGCUGGCGGCAUGCCUAACACAUGCAAGUCGCACGGGGGGGCUUCGGCCUCCCAGUGGCGGACGGGUGAGGAACGCAUAGGGACCUGUCGAGGGGUGGGGGAUAACCGCGGGAAACUGCGGCUAAUACCGCAUGACGCCGCGGCGUGACAGCCGGGGCCAAAGGCGAAAGCCGCCCGCCGAGGGGCCUGCGUCCGAUUAGCUGGUUGGCGGGGUAGCGGCCCACCAAGGCGUCGAUCGGUAGCUGGUCUGAGAGGGUGAUCAGCCACACCGGGACUGAGACACGGCCCGGACUCCUACGGGAGGCAGCAGUGGGGAAUAUUGGACAAUGGGCGCAAGCCUGAUCCAGCAAUGCCGCGUGGGUGAAGAAGGUCUUCGGAUUGUAAAGCCCUUUCGGCGGGGACGAUGGUGACGGUACCCGCAGAAGAAGCCCCGGCUAACUUCGUG
This 451-nucleotide ribosomal RNA is filed under the name uncultured bacterium. Its description in RNAcentral is "partial 16S ribosomal RNA". It matches the Rfam family "Bacterial small subunit ribosomal RNA", at positions 28 to 507 of the family's 1533-position model. The record is from RNAcentral.